AUGGAUCCUCCUAACCCACCAUGGAAGGGCUACUCCAUUGACUUCAACCCCAGCCUCAAGGUCGAGGACCAGGUUCAUUGGUGUUUCAAAUCAACGGUUCAUUUCUCCCCCACUUCCUCCUCCAAGGAAUUUUUCUUGGUGGUCACUUUCUCUUCUGCCUCCUUUCCCCUAUCGUGUGCAUCAGUUGGUUUGGCUUUAAAAUGUUGCAUUGGGGGUCUUACAUCUGGUUUCAAGGUUGCACACAUUGGAGAAAGGAAUUUUCGGUUCUAG
Molecule: ribosomal RNA, 270 nt
Filed under: Triticum aestivum (bread wheat)
Lineage: Eukaryota; Viridiplantae; Streptophyta; Magnoliopsida; Poales; Poaceae
Description: partial small subunit ribosomal RNA
Source: RNAcentral